This 466-nucleotide ribosomal RNA is filed under the name uncultured bacterium. Its description in RNAcentral is "partial 16S ribosomal RNA". It matches the Rfam family "Bacterial small subunit ribosomal RNA", at positions 28 to 505 of the family's 1533-position model. The record is from RNAcentral.
GACGAACGCUGGCGGCGUGCUUAACACAUGCAAGUCGAACGGAAAGGCCCUGCUUUUGUGGGGUGCUCGAGUGGCGAACGGGUGAGUAACACGUGAGUAACCUGCCCUUGACUUUGGGAUAACUUCAGGAAACUGGGGCUAAUACCGGAUAGGAGCUCCUGCUGCAUGGUGGGGGUUGGAAAGUUUCGGCGGUUGGGGAUGGACUCGCGGCUUAUCAGCUUGUUGGUGGGGUAGUGGCUUACCAAGGCUUUGACGGGUAGCCGGCCUGAGAGGGUGACCGGCCCAAUUGGGGCUGGGAAACCGCCCAGAGCUCCCCGGGGGGACACAGGGGGGAAAUGUGACAAAAGGGGGGGAGCCUGAAUCAGCAACCGCGGGGGGGGGAAGGAGGGUCUCGGGGUGGAAAACCGUUUCCGCGUGUGAGAAGGCGGAGGGACGGGAAAGGGGAAAAAAGCACCCGCUAAACACC